UACGGAGGGUGCAAGCGUUAUCCGGAUUCACUGGGUUUAAAGGGUGCGUAGGCGGUUUUAUAAGUCAGUGGUGAAAUACGGCAGCUCAACUGUCGAGGUGCCAUUGAUACUGUAGAACUUGAGUACAGACGAGGUAGGCGGAAUUGACGGUGUAGCGGUGAAAUGCUUAGAUAUCGUCAAGAACACCGAUAGCGAAGGCAGCUUACUAGGCUGUAACUGACGCUGAGGCACGAAAGUGUGGGGAUCAAACAGG
This 253-nucleotide ribosomal RNA is filed under the name uncultured bacterium. RNAcentral describes it as "partial 16S ribosomal RNA". It matches the Rfam family "Bacterial small subunit ribosomal RNA", at positions 524 to 776 of the family's 1533-position model. The record is from RNAcentral.